CCAGGGGCAGGCAGCCAAAGAGAAGGUGCACUUUUGGGAGUGGAAACAGUGUGUCUCCAGAGGUGCACACGCACGGAGAAUGCACAAAGAAAGCAGCACGACCACCACCCUAGGGCAGCAGUAGCCUGGGCAGCGGCAGAUUCUCAUGCCACAGCAGCAAGAUCCCAAGACAAUGUAGGCAGCACCCACACUAAAAUCUCGAGGACCAGCUUGACACACAGAUGCCGUGUGGAGUCCUUUGAGAGAACUAGAAUGGUGCUGGCGUGGGGACCCAAGCUCAUGGCCAAUGAGGCAGGUGCCUGUAUUUGGCCUCCAGGCUUCUGUUCUCCUUGUGCUGGAGCAUCAAGGCCUUGUUGAGGUUCUUGACCACAGCAGACAUGUACCUGAUGGCCCGAACCUCCCCCUGGUUGAACAUCGUGGAGUCCAGGAGUUCCUGCAGCAUGGACUUCACCUCGGAGACCCUUAUGCAGCCUUGUUCCCCAGAACCUGCACGAGGCCGCAGCUCCAGGGACCACCAACGAGGACCUGUCUCCACAUCACACCUUCCUUCAGCCCUGAGGGACAGCCCAGAACUGCUCACUUCUCAGCUUGGGUCCACCACCCCAAACUCUUACCACUGACCAUCCAUCUCAGCUAAAGCUUUUGUUAUGGAGGAGAAUCAGAAAGACUCCCAUAGACCCUGGUGUGUGACUUCUUUCCUUGAGAUGGCAUCUGCCCCAGCUCCCCUGCCAGGUGCUCCUGGAACCUACUUUGUGCCCCUUUCCUUUGUCCUUCAAUGAGAGUGGAGCAGAGGGAAAUGAGAGACUCGAUGCCUCCUUUGGUGGCGAUGAGGGAGAGAGGUAACCCCUUCUCCAUCACCUCGAUCCAUUCAUCCAGGGCUUCCUCUUCCUCCUCACUCUUCCUGUUCCCGAUCUCAUAGGUCAGACUGUCACCUGGAGAGAGAGUGGGAGAUGCAGGCUGAGAACAGUCUGUCCUCUAGGGAGCCCCAAAUAGCCCUAUAGGAUAGGGGUUACACCAGCAGGCUUUGAGGUUGGAUUGGUUUAACCUCUUAUUAGCUGUAUGAUGUUGAGCAAGUCACUUAUUUCCCUAGCCUUAGUAUCCUUGCCAAAAAAGGGUUGGGUAUGGGUUAAAUAAUACUAGUGAAAUGAUUAACAUGAGACCUGCCAUGUAGAAAAUAUGCAUAGACAUAAAACAGCACUGUUGUACUACAAGGCCAGCAAUGUGCCUAUCUUGUUAUUGCUCUAUCCUCACUGCCUAGUCCAAUAUCUGGACAAUUAAAUGAAUUAACUGCAGUCAACAGCCCUGCUUAGUUCUUGGGGGCAGCUGAAGGACCACUGAACCGAGAGCUCCUCAGGGGCAGGGCAAUGUGAGUAGGGGUAGGGCAUAUCCGUAUACCACCUUCCUCCAACACUGCAGCAUCCGCCGUACCUCACACCAGACUGAGGUCUCCUGAUCGGAUAACUCUGGUCUUAACAGGGGUAGCAUCUGGCUCCAGGGCUGCAUGCAGCUGGUCCACACCCAAAUGGCUAUACCAGUUGCUUACAGCUGGCAUCAGUGCUGUUUGGCUCAGUAUCCAUUCAGUACUUUGAAUAUCACCCUUGAGUCCCUCUAUAAAAUAGCUAGUGUGCUUCACAAAAAACAAUUAGAACUAAUAAACAAAUUCAAUAAAGUUACAGGAUCCAAAAUCAACAUAUAAAAGUCAGUUGCAUUUCUACACACUAACAAUUAACUAUCCAAAAAAGAAAUAAAGAAAACAAUCCCAUUUACAAUAGCAUCAAAACAAUAAAAUACUUAGGAAUACAUUUAACAAAGGAGGUGAAGGAUCUCUACAGUGAAAACCAUAAGACAUGAAUGAAAGAAAUUAAAGAAGACACGUGUAAAUGAAAAGAUAACCCAUGUUCAUGGAUCA
Molecule: long non-coding RNA, 1909 nt
Filed under: Monodon monoceros (narwhal)
Lineage: Eukaryota; Metazoa; Chordata; Mammalia; Artiodactyla; Monodontidae
Description: lncRNA (ENSMMNG00015013724.1)
Source: RNAcentral